GUGGGGAAUAUUGCACAAUGGGCGCAAGCCUGAUGCAGCCAUGCCGCGUGUAUGAAGAAGGCCUUCGGGUUGUAAAGUACUUUCAGCGGGGAGGAAGGUGUUGUGGUUAAUAACCACAGCAAUUGACGUUACCCGCAGAAGAAGCACCGGCUAACUCCGUGCCAGCAGCCGCGGUAAUACGGAGGGUGCAAGCGUUAAUCGGAAUUACUGGGCGUAAAGCGCACGCAGGCGGUCUGUCAAGUCGGAUGUGAAAUCCCCGGGCUCAACCUGGGAACUGCAUUCGAAACUGGCAGGCUAGAGUCUUGUAGAGGGGGGUAGAAUUCCAGGUGUAGCGGUGAAAUGCGUAGAGAUCUGGAGGAAUACCGGUGGCGAAGGCGGCCCCCUGGACAAAGACUGACGCUCAGGUGCGAAAGCGUGGGGAGCAAACAGGAUUAGAAACCCGUGUAGUCC
Molecule: ribosomal RNA, 450 nt
Filed under: uncultured bacterium
Lineage: Bacteria
Description: partial 16S ribosomal RNA
Rfam family: Bacterial small subunit ribosomal RNA
Source: RNAcentral